This 1343-nucleotide long non-coding RNA is filed under the name Capra hircus (goat). RNAcentral's name for it is "lncRNA (ENSCHIG00010010021.1)". Lineage: Eukaryota; Metazoa; Chordata; Mammalia; Artiodactyla; Bovidae. The record is from RNAcentral.
AUGACAGCAACCCCAAGUCCCCCCUGGGGAGGGAGGGAGAGCAGGGCCCAGCCUCAGCUCCAACUACCUCAUGCGACUCUCAGCCCAGAGGACAGUCCCCCAGGCCCAGGCAACGUCCUCUUCACUGUCAUUCCAGGGACAAAGACACAGGCAGGCCUCUCUGGAAUCGUGGUAACAUUUAUUCUGAGAACAGAACAGGUCUCCACUCACCUGACCCUGAGCUCGGCCCUGAGGGGUGAGUCAGGGUGGCACAGAGCAGGGUGCACCAAGCAAGCAGAGCAGCUGCUCUCCCCACCCAGCCUCCAGCCCCAGCCUGAAAGACCUCCAUCUUCACAUACCCAGGCCCCAGGACCUUCUGGGACCCAGAUCAUCACACAGCCAGGAGCCAGCCUGGCCCACCCAGAAGGGUGGGGAGCAAGGGCAGGACUGCUGAGCCAGUUGUUUGAGAAGGGGGCAGGGGACAGUGCCCAGCCCCCAGGCAGAAGUCCAUGCAGAUCACCCAGGUGGCCCUGGGUUCCCCCGUAGCCCAGGUGCACGUGGCUGAGCAAAGACCCACGUGUGGGCCCCGGAAUUCCCAGGCUGGCUUGUCUGGCCCUCGCCUCUCUAUCCGACUCUCGAAUCUUCCUUUCCAGUAGACAUUGAGAAGUGGCGAUUACAUGACCGUGUAUAGUGCAUACGCAUACAGAGAUACACAGAGAAAGGGUACUGUUUUGCCCUUAUUCAGCACUUGUUAGGAAGAGUGCUGACAAAUGAGAAUUAUUGGCCCCACUUUGCAGAAGGGGGAAAUCGAGGCACAGGAGGUUUAAGCAACUUGCUCCUGGUCACACACAAAGUCCUCACCCUAGGCUCAGGUUCAGGAAAAGGAAUCCUCUUGUUCUCCUUGUCCUUCAGUUCCCGGCCCCUCCCAUGUCCCAGGACCAGGACACAGGGGCAGAGUGGGCCGGAGUAAGGAGGCAAAGUCAGGGAUCCAACAGAUCCAGCCAGGACACUGCACCAAAGAGCCAGAUCUGGAGCCAAAAAGUCAGGUUUCCCUGAAGGAAUUCCCAGCAAGGCCACAGGAACUCCCCAUCUUGAAUCAACUGGACUUUUUCAUUUAUAUCACCUGGUCUGGAGCCCAAGAAGGACACAGAAGAGACCCAAAACUGGCCACAGCCCUAACACUCUAAGAACACAGCUGACGCCGGUUGGCAAAACAUCCCAGUACAAACCCCUGUCUUCUUCAUCCACCUCCAGACCUCCUCUGAGAAGGUAUGACCUCGCCCACGUCCCUCCCUAAGCAGAUCAAAAUAAAAUCAGAGGAUCACAGGAAGUGGAGUUUAAGAAGAAAAAAGGGUUCAGGCUUU